GCGGGUGUAGCUCAAUUGGUUAGAGCGCCAGAUUGUGAUUCUGGAGGUUGCGGGAUCGUGCCCCGUCACUCGCCCCA
This 77-nucleotide transfer RNA is filed under the name Rhodospirillaceae bacterium. Its description in RNAcentral is "tRNA-His". It matches the Rfam family "tRNA". From Rfam's summary of the family: Transfer RNA (tRNA) molecules are approximately 80 nucleotides in length. Their secondary structure includes four short double-helical elements and three loops (D, anti-codon, and T loops). Lineage: Bacteria; Pseudomonadati; Pseudomonadota; Alphaproteobacteria; Rhodospirillales; Rhodospirillaceae. The record is from RNAcentral.